Molecule: ribosomal RNA, 448 nt
Filed under: uncultured bacterium
Lineage: Bacteria
Description: bacterial SSU rRNA
Rfam family: Bacterial small subunit ribosomal RNA
Source: RNAcentral
UCCAGACUCCUACGGGAGGCAGCAGUGGGGGAUAUUGCACAAUGGGGGGAACCCUGAUGCAGCGACGCCGCGUGGGUGAAGGAGCGUUUCGGCGCGUAAAGCCCUAUCGGCAGGGAAGAAGGAGGACGGUACCUGACUAAGAAGCCCCGGCUAACUACGUGCCAGCAGCCGCGGUAAUACGUAGGGGGCAAGCGUUAUCCGGAUUUACUGGGUGUAAAGGGGGCGCAGACGGCAGCGCAAGCCAGGAGUGAAAGCCCGGGGCCCAACCCCGGGACUGCUCUUGGAACUGCGCGGCUGGAGUGCAGGAGGGGCAGGCGGAACUCCUGGUGUAGCGGUGAAAUGCGUAGAUAUCAGGAGGAACACCGGUGGCGAAGGCGGCCUGCUGGACUGCGACUGACGUUGAGGCCCGAAAGCGUGGGGAGCAAACAGGAUUAGAUACCCGAGUACG